UUUUUGGACGAAAACUGACGNUGAGGCGCGAAAGCCAGGGGAGCGAACGGGAUUAGAUACCCCGGUAGUNCUGGCCGUAAACGAUGGGUACUAGGUGUAGGAGGUAUCGACCCCUUCUGUGCCGGAGUUAACGCAAUAAGUACCCCGCCUGGGGAGUACGACCGCAAGGUUGAAACUCAAAGGAAUUGACGGGGGCCCGCACAAGCGGUGGAGUAUGUGGUUUAAUUCGACGCAACGCGAAGAACCUUACCAGGUCUUGACAUUGAUGGACGAAACAAGAGAUUGUUUUUCUCCUUCGGGAGCCAGAAAACAGGUGGUGCACGGCUGUCGUCAGCUCGUGUCGUGAGAUGUUGGGUUAAGUCCCGCAACGAGCGCAACCCCUAUCUUAUGUUGCCAGCACUACGGGUGGGAACUCAUGAGAGACUGCCGCAGACAAUGCGGAGGAAGGCGGGGAUGACGUCAAGUCAUCAUGCCCCUUAUGACCUGGGCUACACACGUACUACAAUGGGAGUUAAUGGAGGGAAGCGAAGCCGCGAGGUGGAGCAAACCCCAGAAACACUCUCUCAGUUCGGAUUGCAGGCUGCAACUCGCCUGCAUGAAGUCGGAAUCGCUAGUAAUCGCAGGUCAGCAUACUGCGGUGAAUACGUUCCCGGGCCUUGUACACACCGCCCGUCACACCACGAAAGUCGGAAGUGCCCAAAGCCGGUGGGGUAACCUUCGGGAGCCAGCCGUCUAAGGUAAAGUCGAUGAUUGGGGUGAAGUCGUAACAAGGUAGCCGUCA
Molecule: ribosomal RNA, 781 nt
Filed under: uncultured Veillonella sp.
Lineage: Bacteria; Bacillati; Bacillota; Negativicutes; Veillonellales; Veillonellaceae
Description: bacterial SSU rRNA
Rfam family: Bacterial small subunit ribosomal RNA
Source: RNAcentral